CUCAUAUUCUUAACAGCACCCACUCUUUCAACACCCCCAUUUGGUGUGAUAUUCUCAGCAGGUGGCCUUCUGGGUGCUCCUGAGGUGGCUUCCUGGGCAGGUGGAUGACAGGCUUUGUUUGCGGCUAUUUUUACAGCUCAGGAGAGCAGGCAGGAGCCUGAAACGCGCUCCCACCAGCUCUUCGUGAACAGGCCCAUUCCCAGACACACAGACCCAUGAUAGUCGGUGCCCACUGCACAGAUUUCAGUCCUUGCCGGGGCGGCUGGCAGCCCCCGCGUCCCGCAAGGCGCCGUGGCAGAGCCGAGGACACUAAGGGUAGGACGCCUGCCCUCGCAGCCAAUGGAGCUCACAGCCAAUGGGACAGAAAACGUGGCCGGAGGAGGAGCGAGCAGGUGGAGCAGGCUGACUGGGCACAUUCCAAGUCAGGAAAUGAGGUCGGCGAGACAGCUGCCACGAACAAGGGGACCCGCAGCCAGGAGAGAGAACCGAUGACAAAGUCGGCUACUGUAUUGACACAAUGUUGUGAGAAGAGCAACCCGUGUGAAGAUAGGAAGUACUAAGGUAUGAGACUUCCACACAAGACUUCUUAAAGGUUCAGAAAAUAAGAAACAUAUGGACAUACUAACACAUAUACAGUAUAACACAUGAAAUGUAACAUUUAUCUUAAACUAUGGUUGGUUCGAAGUCUCAUGAAUAUUCAGGUGGCAGAGCUGGAAGAAAUUUAAUAUUUUUCUUUCUAGAAAGCAGUAAUUUUGUUCUAAUCUCAACCCUGCUUCUACCUAGCUGAGUGACCAUAGGUGAGUCAUUUAAACAAUCAGAGUUGUCUUAGUUUCCUUGUUUGAAACCAGGGAUUCCUCAGAAUUCCAUUAUCGUACCCUUCUUCCUUCCCCAUCCCUCACCCCUGGAAAUCUGUAAUUCUCUGGGGACUUAAUAUUACUUGUUUCAGAUACUUACAUUCUUUUAGCUACGUGUUACAGAUUGCAGUGAAAGAAUGGUUGGUGGGAAAUAUUUUUCACGUGUCAAAGCUAAUGUUCAGAGCAUAGAAAACAACCAGCAAAUGUCUCACUCAGUGUCCUGGUUACACUGUCUUUGUUAAGUCUAACCUUUUAAAUUUGGGUUUAAGUCAGAUGCUUUGGGGUUAGUCAUAUGAUGAAUGAACUCAUAAAUGACUGUAUUCCAUGUUUGGGUACCCUACACAUACCCUCAACGCGCCAAUGUUGCUGUAGCCGUUCUCUAUAAGGAAUAUACAAAUUUAUGCUAAAUAAUUAAUUGACAUUUUCCUUAAGAUACUAUUUGCUAAAAUCUAUAGCCUCCCAAUUCUUCUUGCUCAAACAAUGAAUUAUGCUUCCCUACGGUUCUCCCAAUCUUUACGCACCUCUAAACAUCCAAUUUGCAGGUUAUAAUGAGAUAACGCCGUUGCACACGUGUGGUGUGUUUUUUCUCACAUGUUGUACACUUCUCCUCUACAACUGUAUAAUCUUCAUUUGCAAUGGCUACAAAAUAUUUUAUGGAGUUGCUAUAACAGUUUUUUGUCAGCUUUAUCUGUCUUCCACUGAAAUAAAUGAGUUAAGUAAGGUCUGUGGUCGGUGCGUUUUGUCUAUUUUUCCUUAUGUCUCCUUAGUUGCUGCUUCAUGAAUGAUGCCACAAUUUGAUGCACAGAUAUGCGUAACUGUUGUAUUUCCAUGGUGGUCUGUGGCAUGAUCAAGUGCCAGCUUUUGUCUUGUUUAAUACUGUGGGGCCUGAAUUUUACCUUGUUUUGUACUAGGAUUAUGAACCCCCCACACACACACACUUCAUUUUUUGCUGGUGUAUCUUUGUACGCUUUUUAUUUCUUUUUUUUUAACUGAAGCACAAUUAACAUACAGUGUUAUAUUAGUUCCAGGUGCACUACAUAGUGAUUCAACAAUCUGUAUGUUACUCCAUGUUCAUCAUGGUAAGCGUACUCGAAAUCCCCUUCACCUACUUUACCCCUCCUCCCACCCACCUCCCCUCUGGUGGCCAUCCGCUUGUUCUCUGUGUUUAAGAGUCUGGUUUUUUGUCUCUUUUUUCCUUUGUUUGCUCAUUUGUUUUGUUUCCUAAAUUCCACAUAUGAGGGAAAUCAUGCGUUACUUGUCUUUCUCUGUCUGACUUAUUUCACUUAGCGUAAUCCCCUCCAGGUCCAUCCAUGUUGUUACAAAUGGCUUUCAGUUUUAGUUUUUCUAUUUUGCUUUGUGAUUCAAUCUGAAGAUCUCUUUCCUCUAAUGGGAGAGUUAUAUUUACAUUUGUUAGUAUGACAUUUGGUCUCAGUUUUGUCAUUUUUAUAUGAUGUGUUCUGUUUUUAGAUGCUGCAUUGUAGCAAUUCCUGGUCACUUUUUUUUUUUCAUUUUAACAUCUUUGAAAUUGGAAUGUGUCUUACAACUGAC
Molecule: long non-coding RNA, 2402 nt
Organism: Ailuropoda melanoleuca (giant panda)
Lineage: Eukaryota; Metazoa; Chordata; Mammalia; Carnivora; Ursidae
Source: Ensembl